Molecule: long non-coding RNA, 812 nt
Organism: Pyrgilauda ruficollis (rufous-necked snowfinch)
Lineage: Eukaryota; Metazoa; Chordata; Aves; Passeriformes; Passeridae
Exons: 3
Source: RefSeq, a predicted model, not a curated record
CACAAGGAGCUGGGAGGGAACACAGCCAGGACAGCCAACCCUAAGUGACCCGAGGGAUAUCCCAUAACAUAUGGGGUCAUGCUCAGCAUAUAAAGGGAAAAGGAGUGAUUGAGUGGCUUUGUGGGACUGAAGUACUGGCUGGGAUUAAACCAUGACACAGAAUUACAAAUGCAGGACCACAAUGGCUUUUCAUCAUGUUUCUUCCUACCAAAAUUCUCAUAGACAUCUUGGGCAACAGUAAAAGCUGGGGGUGAGAUGGCAGGACCAACUCUGAAAUCAGCAGUUCUUCUGAGACCUGUGUCUGCUCAUCUGCCUGCCUCAAUCCCAGCAAGCAUACAGAGGGCACUUUAAAUAUAACCUUGGCCUCUGGUACAGAAAUAAAUCACGAAACAUGACCCUCAUGCCAGUUAAAGAAGCAGCAUUGCAAUUCCUACUGCACUGAUUCAUAUUUGUGAGUAUUUCCCUUUCCUUGAAAAGCCGCUGUGAGUGCCAGCUCCAUGAAGAAGAAGAGCACAAAGCACAAGUACCAGCCAAGUCCCACUGAGACUCUGCAGCCUGUGGGUGACAGAUGAGAUCUUUGCUGUUGUGUCCUGUGUCUGGCCAGGGCUGUGGUUUCCCCCAUCAGCAGCAGUCAUAGGGAUUGUCUGCACAGUGUCACAGGAGCUAAUAACUGGAAAACACAUUUUAAAUUCCCUGCUUCAGUUUGGUUUCUGAGGGGAAACCCACAGGGUGGCGACUGCAAGCAGGAGUAGUUCAGGUACCUGGGUUCCCAGGAUAUCCCACUCUCAGCAAUGCCAUGGCAAAACCUGCAC